Molecule: long non-coding RNA, 1167 nt
Organism: Bos taurus (domestic cattle)
Lineage: Eukaryota; Metazoa; Chordata; Mammalia; Artiodactyla; Bovidae
Source: Ensembl
GUGGUUAAGCAUCCACCUGCAGGAGACUUAAGAGAUUUGGGUUCAAUCCCUGGGUGGGGAAGAUCCCCUGGAGAAAGAAAUGGCAAUCCACUGCAGUAAUCUUGCCUGGAGAAUCCCAUGGAAAGAGGGAGCCUGGCAGGCUACAGUCCAUGGGGUCACAAAGAGUUGGACACAACUGAAGUGACUUAGCACACACACACAUCAUAAGAGGAAUCAAUCCCAGAGAUCACUUUGCAGAGGAAAGAAGGCUGGUGUGGGGCAGAAGGAGCACAUUCAAUCUGGUGGUGGCACGGGUCCAGGUUUCUAGGGAGGAAAGGAAGAUGCUUCCUGGGAGGUGUUUGGGGGCCUGUCGAGGAGCUGCACUUGGGCAGGGCAAGCAGUCAGUAGUCCGUCUUUCAUGGCUUAGGCCCAGUUUGCCUUGUGGGCCGCACAGCCUCCCCAGCAAGAGAUAAACCCGUCAUCUGUGUUGAAGGCUCAGGGGUAUAGGCUGUGGUGGCCCCCUACUCACUAGAAGCAGGACAGAAUUGUUAGGGUCAGACUUUUCCAGGUUUUAUUUUUAUUUUUCUGUUUUUUUGGCGGUGCCGCGUGACACGCAGGAUCUGAAUUUCUUGACCAGGGUUCGAACCAGUGCCCCCUGCUGUGGAAGUGCAGCAUCCUAAUCGCUGGACCACCAGAGAAGUCCCUUUUCCAGUCUGAGGAGACGUCAUCUACUCGUUCACUCACAUCCCAACUUAUCCAAGAGACAUUUAUCAAGCAUCUACUAUGCAAAGCACAGUGAAGACAUCAGCUUUCAAGCAGCCUCUACUCUGAUGCGAAGACCCUAACUAUGACGUACAUCAGAAUGAAAUGUGAUCUAGGAAGGAGAUACACUGACCUUAGAGGAACAGGAAAAAGGAACUGUUCAUUUUGAUCUGGGAGGUACAGAACUCAGGGAAUAUGGGGGAGAGACAUUUGAACAGAAACAUAAGGGACAAGAAAGGUUUCAAGACGAAGAAUGGAAGAAGACUCCAGGAUGAGGGAAUUGUAUUAACAAAGUCACGGAGAAGUGGAGAUCCAUAGUGUGCAUGGAGAGAGGGGUACACGGUGCUAGACUUGAAUGCCCAGGAAGGGAGUCUGAAGGAUGAGGGUGGGGGUGUGCAGACAAAGAGAAGUGACUAUGACAAUGUG